GCGACCUUGGUGGCAUUUGGACGGUGAGUUAAUCAGCACUCAAAGAGAUCGGUUCACAUGUCUUUGACCGUUGGUGAAAUGGAUAAACACGUCCAAUCGAUUGCUGAUAAAAAUCAGAUUGUUAUCCAUCGUAGUCUAAACAGGCUAAGCCGCUCGUACUCAAUACGAGCGAGCGAAGAAAUUUAUAUCGCGCCUAUUAGAUCGGUUUUGAGUUAUGCGACCGCGCUACAUGAACUGGGUCAUCAGUUGGGUCCCCAUCAGCGCAGUUCUCAUGUGUUAGUGCGCGAAAAAGCCGCUUGGAAGUGGG
This 307-nucleotide unclassified non-coding RNA is filed under the name Hevea brasiliensis (rubber tree). Lineage: Eukaryota; Viridiplantae; Streptophyta; Magnoliopsida; Malpighiales; Euphorbiaceae. The record is from RNAcentral.